This 468-nucleotide ribosomal RNA is filed under the name uncultured bacterium. RNAcentral describes it as "partial 16S ribosomal RNA". It matches the Rfam family "Bacterial small subunit ribosomal RNA", at positions 28 to 507 of the family's 1533-position model. The record is from RNAcentral.
GACGAACGCUGGCGGCGUGCUUAACACAUGCAAGUCGAACGGAAAGGCCCUGCUUUUGUGGGGUGCUCGAGUGGCGAACGGGUGAGUAACACGUGAGUAACCUGCCCUUGACUUUGGGAUAACUUCAGGAAACUGGGGCUAAUACCGGAUAGGAGCUCCUGCUGCAUGGUGGGGGUUGGAAAGUUUCGGCGGUUGGGGAUGGACUCGCGGCUUAGCAGCUUGUUGGUGGGGUAGUGGCUUACCAAGGCUUUGACGGGUAGCCGGCCUGAGAGGGUGACCGGCCACAUUGGGACUGAGAUACGGCCCAGACUCCUACGGGAGGCAGCAGUGGGGAAUAUUGCACAAUGGGCGGAAGCCUGAUGCAGCAACGCCGCGUGCGGGAUGACGGCCUUCGGGCUGUAAACCGCUUUCGCCUGUGACGAAGCGUGAGUGACGGUAAUGGGUAAAGAAGCACCGGCUAACUACGUG